RNAcentral lists this ribosomal RNA (157 nucleotides) under Streptococcus pneumoniae. RNAcentral describes it as "partial 23S ribosomal RNA". It matches the Rfam family "Bacterial large subunit ribosomal RNA", at positions 2769 to 2925 of the family's 2925-position model. The record is from RNAcentral. Lineage: Bacteria; Bacillati; Bacillota; Bacilli; Lactobacillales; Streptococcaceae.
UGCUGAAAGCAUCUAAGCACGAAGCCCCCCUCAAGAUGAGAUUUCCCAUUGCGCAAGCAAGUAAGAUCCCUCAAAGACGAUGAGGUAGAUAGGUUCGGGGUGGAAGCGUGGCGACACGUGCAGCUGACGAAUACUAAUCGAUCGAGGACUUAACCAA